CCUACGGGAGGCAGCAGUGGGGAAUAUUGCACAAUGGGCGCAAGCCUGAUGCAGCGACGCCGCGUGAGGGAUGACGGCCUUCGGGUUGUAAACCUCUUUCAGUAGGGAAGAAGCGAAAGUGACGGUACCUGCAGAAGAAGCGCCGGCUAACUACGUGCCAGCAGCCGCGGUAAUACGUAGGGCGCAAGCGUUAUCCGGAAUUAUUGGGCGUAAAGAGCUCGUAGGCGGUUUGUCGCGUCUGCCGUGAAAGUCCGGGGCUCAACUCCGGAUCUGCGGUGGGUACGGGCAGACUAGAGUGAUGUAGGGGAGACUGGAAUUCCUGGUGUAGCGGUGAAAUGCGCAGAUAUCAGGAGGAACACCGAUGGCGAAGGCAGGUCUCUGGGCAUUAACUGACGCUGAGGAGCGAAAGCAUGGGGAGCGAACAGGAUUAGAUACCCUGGUAGUCCAUGCCGUAAACGUUGGGCACUAGGUGUGGGGGACAUUCCACGUUUUCCGCGCCGUAGCUAACGCAUUAAGUGCCCCGCCUGGGGAGGUACGGCCGCGAGACGUAAACUUAAAAGUAAGUAGUAGACGCGNGAGAGCGACGACGACGACGACGAGGAGGAG
This 606-nucleotide ribosomal RNA is filed under the name uncultured bacterium. RNAcentral's name for it is "bacterial SSU rRNA". It matches the Rfam family "Bacterial small subunit ribosomal RNA", at positions 338 to 955 of the family's 1533-position model. The record is from RNAcentral.